RNAcentral lists this long non-coding RNA (1503 nucleotides) under Oreochromis niloticus (Nile tilapia). RNAcentral's name for it is "lncRNA (ENSONIG00000031357.1)". Lineage: Eukaryota; Metazoa; Chordata; Actinopteri; Cichliformes; Cichlidae. The record is from RNAcentral.
AUGGUGAGAAAAGCGCAAUUAACAAUGGAAGAGAGACAGACCAUCAUAACACUUAUAAAUGUAGGUCUGUCCUACAGAGAAACUGCAAAGAAAGUCAAGGUGUCAGUGAGCACAGUUUCCUUCACCAUCAAAAACAGAGGCAGCACUGCGAAAACAGAAAACCCGAGUGUGCAGCUGGCAGAGGAAAUAAACAGCUUCUUCGCCCACUUUGAAACACCACAACAGCAACACUCAUCUGCCUCAGCCCUGCUCCCAUCCUCAUCCUCACCCUCACCUGGUUCCUGCACCGCUCCACUCACUGUAACGGAGCACGAUGUCAGACGUGUGCUCCUAGCAGUGAACCCCAGGAAGGCGGCCGGUCCAGACGGAGUACCUGGCAAGGUACUAAGAGCAUGCGCACACCAGCUCACCCUCAUCUUCACCAGACUCUUCAACCUCUCACUGGAUCAGGCAGCCAUCCCAUCCUGUCUAAAAUCAGCCACAAUCAUCCCAGUGCCGAAGAAGUCUCCCAUCUCCAGCCUGAAUGAUUACUGCCCUGUGGCCCUCACACCGGUAAUCAUGAAAUGCUUUGAGAGACUAGUCCUUCAGCACAUCAAGGAUUACCUCCCCCCAGAAUUCGACCCCCACCAGUUUGCAUACCGUGCAAAUAGAUCCACAGAUGACGCCAUCGCCACAGCCCUCCACUCUGUGCUGAGUCACCCAGAGCAGCGGCAGAGCUACGUCCGAAUGCUCUUUGUGGACUACAGCUCAGCCCUUAAUACUAUCAUCCCGGACAUCCUCAUCAACAAACUGGUCACUCUUGGCCUCCCUCCUCUCACAUGUGCCUGGAUAAAGGACUUUCUCACAAACCGGCCCCAGACUGUGAGACUCGGCCCUCAUCUCUCCUCCAUUCGCACACUGAGCACCGGCUCCCCACAGGGCUGUGUGCUGAGCCCCCUCCUGUAUUCUCUCUACACCCACGACUGCAGUUCGACCCACAACAACACUCUCAUCAUCAAGUUUGCUGAUGACACCACGGUAGUCGGACUCAUCUCGAAGGGAGAGGAGGCAGACUACAGAGAGGAAGUCCUGAAGUUGGCAGCCUGGUGUUCAGAAAACAACCUGACACUGAACACUAAGAAAACCAAAGAGCUCAUUGUUGACUUCAGGAGACACAGCACUGACUUGGCCCCCCUCUACAUCAACGGGGAGUGUGUGGAGAGGGUCCACACCUUCUGGUUCCUUGGUGUCCUCAUCUCUGCUGACAUCUCCUGUACAGAAAACAUCUCAGCGGUCGUCAAGAAGGCCCAACAGCGGCUGCACUUCCUGAGAGUCCUCAGAAAGUACAAGCUGAACUCCGACCUGCUGCUGACCUUCUACUGCUCGUCCAUUGAGAGCCUGCUAACCUACUGCAUCACGGUAUGGUACAGCAGCUGCACCAAGGCGGAUAGAGUGAGGCUUCAGAGUGUGGUCAAUCAAUCAAUCUUUAUUUAUAAAGCACUUUUCAUACAAAAAAAACUGUAG